UACGUAGGGGGCAAGCGUUGUCCGGAUUUACUGGGCGUAAAGAGCGUGUAGGCGGCCACGCAGGUCCGUUGUGAAAACUGGAGGCUCAACCUCCAGCUGUCGACGGAAACCGUGUGGCUAGAGUCCGGAAGAGGAGAGUGGAAUUCCUGGUGUAGCGGUGAAAUGCGCAGAUAUCAGGAAGAACACCAAUGGCGAAGGCAGCUCUCUGGACAGUUCCUGACGCUGAGGCACGAAGGUCAGGGGAGCAAACGGG
RNAcentral lists this ribosomal RNA (253 nucleotides) under uncultured bacterium. RNAcentral describes it as "partial 16S ribosomal RNA". It matches the Rfam family "Bacterial small subunit ribosomal RNA", at positions 524 to 776 of the family's 1533-position model. The record is from RNAcentral.